Pelobates cultripes (western spadefoot toad) is the source of this 287-nucleotide non-coding RNA. The record is from the annotation of a GenBank genome assembly. NCBI's taxonomy places the organism in Eukaryota, Metazoa, Chordata, Amphibia, Anura, Pelobatidae.
CCUCGGCAUAAACUCCUUUUCCUUCCAAUGCUUACCACCAGGCGACCGUUUCCUCGCUCAGUGGGUACGACACAACAGGUAACCUAAGGUUAACCCUUUAGAGCAGGGGAGGUUGAGACCUGAAAACUUGCUCACUUCAUUCCACAUACUUAAACGUAAUCACCUCAAGCUUAAUUGGCAAAGACAUACCCCCGGCUAGCUGUGACUCAAUAUACUAAUGGGGCAGGCAGAAGGGAAGCCGUUUGCAGGCCCGCAUCCCAAGUGGCACUGAGGUAAGACCACCCCCC